GAUGAACGCUGGCGGUAUGCUUAACACAUGCAAGUCGAACGGUACCUUCGGGUAUAGUGGCGGACGGGUGAGCAACGCGUGAGAAUCUAUCUUCAGGUCGGGGACAACAGUUAGAAAUGACUGCUAAUACCGGAUGUGCCGAAAGGUAAAAGAUUUAUUGCCUGAAAAAGAGCUCGCGUCAGAUUAGCUAGUAGGUGGUGUAAGAGACUACCUAGGCUUCGAUCUGUAGCUGGUCUGAGAGGACGAUCAGCCACACUGGAACUGAGACACGGUCCAGACUCCUACGGGAGGCAGCAGUGGGGAAUUUUCCGCAAUGGGCGAAAGCCUGACGGAGCAAUACCGCGUGAGGGACGAAGGCUCUUGGGUCGUAAACCUCUUUUCUCAAGGAAGAUUCAGACGGUACUUGAGGAAUAAGCAUCGGCUAACUCUGUG
RNAcentral lists this ribosomal RNA (432 nucleotides) under uncultured bacterium. RNAcentral describes it as "partial 16S ribosomal RNA". It matches the Rfam family "Bacterial small subunit ribosomal RNA", at positions 28 to 507 of the family's 1533-position model. The record is from RNAcentral.